CAGUAGCCGCGGUAAUACGUAGGUGGCAAGCGUUGUCCGGAAUUAUUGGGCGUAAAGGGCUCGCAGGCGGUUUCUUAAGUCUGAUGUGAAAGCCCCCGGCUCGACCGGGGAGGGUCAUUGGAAACUGGGAAACUUGAGUGCAGAAGAGGAGAGUGGAAUUCCACGUGUAGCGGUGAAAUGCGUAGAGAUGUGGGGGAACACCAGUGGCGAAGGCGACUCUCUGGUCUGUAACUGACGCUGAGGAGCGAAAGCGUGGGGAGCGAACAGGAUUAGAUACCCGGGUAGUCCCUGUCUCUUAUAA
This 301-nucleotide ribosomal RNA is filed under the name uncultured bacterium. RNAcentral describes it as "partial 16S ribosomal RNA". It matches the Rfam family "Bacterial small subunit ribosomal RNA", at positions 509 to 809 of the family's 1533-position model. The record is from RNAcentral.